Molecule: ribosomal RNA, 253 nt
Filed under: uncultured bacterium
Lineage: Bacteria
Description: partial 16S ribosomal RNA
Rfam family: Bacterial small subunit ribosomal RNA
Source: RNAcentral
UACGAAGGGGGCUAGCGUUGCUCGGAAUCACUGGGCGUAAAGCGCACGUAGGCGGAUUGUUAAGUCAGGGGUGAAAUCCUGGAGCUCAACUCCAGAACUGCCUUUGAUACUGGUGAGCUUGAGUCCGGAAGAGGUGAGUGGAACUGCGAGUGUAGAGGUGAAAUUCGUAGAUAUUCGCAAGAACACCAGUGGCGAAGGCGGCUCACUGGUCCGGUACUGACGCUGAGGUGCGAAAGCGUGGGGAGCAAACAGG